AUUGAACGCUGGCGGCAGGCCUAACACAUGCAAGUCGAGCGGAUGAAGGGAGCUUGCUCCUGGAUUCAGCGGCGGACGGGUGAGUAAUGCCUAGGAAUCUGCCUGGUAGUGGGGGAUAACGUCCGGAAACGGGCGCUAAUACCGCAUACGUCCUGAGGGAGAAAGUGGGGGUUCUUCGGACCUCACGCUAUCAGAUGAGCCUAGGUCGGAUUAGCUAGUUGGUGGGGUAAAGGCCUACCAAGGCGACGAUCCGUAACUGGUCUGAGAGGAUGAUCAGUCACACUGGAACUGAGACACGGUCCAGACUCCUACGGGAGGCAGCAGUGGGGAAUAUUGGACAAUGGGCGAAAGCCUGAUCCAGCCAUGCCGCGUGUGUGAAGAAGGUCUUCGGAUUGUAAAGCACUUUAAGUUGGGAGGAAGGGCAGUAAGCUAAUACCUUGCUGUUUUGACGUUACCAACAUAAUAAGCACCGGCUAACUUCGUG
This 484-nucleotide ribosomal RNA is filed under the name uncultured bacterium. RNAcentral's name for it is "partial 16S ribosomal RNA". It matches the Rfam family "Bacterial small subunit ribosomal RNA", at positions 30 to 507 of the family's 1533-position model. The record is from RNAcentral.